Bubalus bubalis (water buffalo) is the source of this 4314-nucleotide long non-coding RNA. RefSeq lists it as uncharacterized. The transcript is spliced from 4 exons. The record is from RefSeq and is a predicted model, not a curated record. Lineage: Eukaryota; Metazoa; Chordata; Mammalia; Artiodactyla; Bovidae.
UGGGGGGUGGGGGGGAGGACGCGGGGCGGGAGCGGUGACCGGGACCGGAGGGGACAGUUCUUCCAGGUUUGGGAAAGGGGCGGGGAGCUGAAGCGAUGAGGUAAUUGGAGCGGUGACCGGUCGGUCCUCGCGCGCCUCCUCGGGUCCCUGCAUCGAGUUGUGAAGGCACAGGCUGGGCGCGACUCAGGCACCCUGGAGGGACUCUCCGAGGGGUGCCGGGCUGCAAACCGGAGCCCGUGAAAUCCCCUCUGGGGAAGGAGAGGUGGGCCGGUUCCGAUCCCGACGUUCCCUUCGUCCCGGGCGUGCGGAGAAGCGUCUUAAGAGGGCUGACUCCGACCUUCAUGCACGUUAACCCUCAAACCGGUUUAGCCUCGGCGUUUUGGAACCCAGCCCACCGAGCCGCGGGGAUCGCCUUGGCGUGCAACUCAGGAAAGUUUUAAGGGUCCUCCCCCUCAACCCCCCGUCUGCACGUGCACCCUCGCCUUUCCUGCCUGUGAAAGCUGGUGACCACCCUGCUCUCCUUUCUCUUUCUGCAGGUCCGGAAAUCUGCUCAGAGCACGGAACUACCCAGCUCGAGCCUGGGUAGACGACCCGCGCACUCCUCUCGCCUCUAAUUCGGGAUCAUUAAUUUCAUCGGAAAUGAGGUAACCAGUGUAGGAGAUAGAGAAAGCAAACCGAGCAUCAGAUGGCAGUUCUCGUGAAUCCGCGCGGUAAGAACUUCCUCUGGACUCAGUUUUUAAAGUGCAGUUCUCAGCUCCUCGCCACCCGACCCUCCGUGGGUACCACCGCCAGGCAUUAGCUGGAAGGGAAGGACUCUUCUUUGGACUGGUGGUACCUGGCCAACAGGUGUGCCACCUGGAGGAGGAGAAGGCACAGCCAUGCUACAGGGAGCUCAGUGCGGCGGCGUUCUCCUGGCUGCAGAUAAUUCUGGAAGGCCGGCCACUGUCACCAGAACUCAAGGCCAGGAUCUCAAAGUAACCUGGCCAUACAAAGGCAUAUAAAACACUACCACCUGUUCACAGACUCACUCCAUUUUAUAUUUGUGGGAAACGAUCCUAGAAGCUGAAAUACUUCCAGAGUUCAACAGUCUGGGAAAUUUAAAAGAGGGAGGAAAAAAGCCCUUCAUCCAAAGAUCUGAGGACAGAACUCUGUUCUUUGAGGAUGGGAGGAGGUAAGAAGACCCUAUUCAUGGCUGCAGGAGAGGAAAAGAGCCCCACAAGGAAACUACCAACAGAUGACAGGAAUCACCGCCAAAGAGUUGCAAGAAAUUGGCAGAGACUAUACUGGUUGGUGGAAAAUUCAGUUCUGGAACCCAAGACAUCUAUUUCUCAGUUCAACGUGUGUUCUGUUUUAACACCCACGGACAUUUCCGUGAUAAGCAAAGUCCAAUUCUAGAAGACCUUUCUCAUGGUGGAGAAGAAGGAAAGAAAACAUUCAUUAUUGCUGAGAGACAACUCCAAAUGGAGCCAUAAUUAUGGAUAUCAGAGGGCAGCUGGGUACCAUACUCACUCUCCCAGUAGCACCUAGAACCCCAAAGCUUAUUAUUGAUGUGGAAACAAACAUACAGAUGACUGUGAAGUGUUCUAAUCCACAUGUAGCAAGGAUCAAUACAGUCCAUGAGUUAAAAAAGCACUGAGUAGGUUGCCUCUUAGGUCAAAAUUUCUUCCUUGUGGCAGGAAAAAAAAAAAAAGAAUGAAUUACUACUAAACAUAGCAAUACAGAUGAAUCUCGCAAUGUUGAAAAAUAAAAGAGGCUACACAUGAAAUAAGGUCUCCUGUAUUGUUCCACUUGUAUAAAAUUCAAAAUCAUACAAGACUAAUCUAUCAUGUUAGAACUAAAUAUAUAGUUUACUUUUGAUGAGGGAAAGGAUCGUGCCAGAUAGGGGGCAUGAAGAUGCUUCCAGGAGGCCAGAAAAUUCUAUUUCUUGACCCAGGUGAUGGACCCAGAGGUGGGUUCACUUUGUGGUAAUCCAUUAAGCCAUUUACCUGUGAUCUGGGUGGUUUUUACUAUAAGAAGGAUUUACUUCAAUUUAAAAGUUUAAAAAUAAUAUUCGCAUUGGGAAAGACAAAUUUAAGACGUAUUAGAAAAGCAUUCUGCUAAUUAAACAUUGGAUAUUUAUAUUUGUAGAGGAAAAAUAGACAAUUCAAAUGAGCUAAAGGAAAAAACGCGCAAAACUUCAGUGUAGGGCGAUGGGAACACUCCCACCCUGCUGCAGGGAGUAUUCAUUGCUACUGCUGCAUUUGGCUCUAUCUAUUAAAGAUAUACACAUCUGGUGACCCAUAUUCCCACCCUGGGUGUAUAUCCAAUAGAAAAACGUGCAUGUGAGCACCAAAAGAACAGCAACUCCAUUCAUAAUGGCCCCAAACUGAAAACAAGUUGUCUACCAACAGUAGAGUAGAUAAAAUGUGGUAUUACUAUAUCCAACCUUGGAAUACUAUACAGCCUUUCAAAAGGAAUGAACCAUAAUACCCUUAGCAUAAAUGAAGCUGAGAAACCUCAUGUUAAAAGAUAGAAGUUAAAAAAAAAAAAAGGCAUAUGUUCCCAUUUACUUAAAGUCCAAAAAAUAAGAAAAGAUAAAUAAGUGAAAAUAUCGAUACACACUUAGGUGGAAAAACUAAAGAAAAGGAAAAAAGAAGUUAUCAUAAAAGUAAGGGUGCUGGGGAGAGGGUGGGUUGUGAGUGGGAAGGGGUGGAUGGACAGCCCCUGGGCCAUAUUCAAUUUCUUGAUUUGAGUAAUGGUUAUGUGAGGGCUCACGUAAUAAAAAUUUAUGAAAUUAUACUUUUAUAUAUCAUACACUUUCUCUAAUGUAUAUUUCAUAACAAAAAGGGUAUAAAAAUCACAUGAAACCCAAUUACUCAGAGAUAGUUAUCAAUUUAACACUUUGAUAUGUGUAUUUUCCAGACCUUCUUUAAUGCAAUAUGUACCUCUUACCCACAUGGCUUUGUAGCCUUUAAUUUUUGUUUUCUUUAAUGAUUGGAUCUCCCAGGAGAAACUCUUGGGUUUUUUUGUUUUCAAUUUCCAUUUAAUUUUAACUAAGAGUAAAUAUCAUACAAGCUUUAUGCCCCUUUGGAAGGCUAAAGCCAUGGAGUGGCUUUCAGGAAAUUAGGUUGCUUUAAGCUAAGCUACAGUGAUUCAUGAACCAAUCUGCAGGAUUUUGCCGUAGCUCAUGGGAGACUUUUACUCCUCUGUUAAUAAUGCUGCAGCUUCAAAAGAGAAAAGCCUCUUUCCACCUCUUCAGUGUACUGCCUCUUCAAAAGAAAGGCCAGGCAGUGAGGGGAAAGGCCAGUAUGGGAGUGGUCAGGAGGCUUGGGGGGAGGAGGAGGUCACCCUAAAAUGUAUUCUAAUACUCAUCAUGCUGCUCCUGACCUAGGAAAUAUUAUAAAGUACUGAAAUCGAACAAAAAAUGAUCCGGGUGCUUUAAAAAAAAAAAAAGUUGUUCCAUUGCUCUCCUUGCCCAGAGGGCAGUCCAAGUUUCCUUCCCUCUGCCUGGAACACGCUGCUCCUCCCCAUCGCCUGAUCAGCAAACAUCCUCCACUGUUCUCCUUUACCCUUUUCAUCAUCUGCAUAUUUCAUCCUCCUUAACAUUACAUGGUUGAAGAAACCUUCUCUGACCACCCAAGCAACAGCUUCAUGGCACCCUGAACCUACCACAUCACAGCACUGGUCACCUUAUUUUGAAAUCGCCUAUUUUCUUGUCCACAAAUAUGCUGCUAAUCCAUAAGCUUCACACAUGCAAGGACGUGCAUGUCCUUCAUGCACACAUAUCCAUUUCACCAUCGAAACUGCCAGCUCUAGUGCACACUGGCACCCAAUAAAUACAGUUAUUGAAUGGGUGGAAAACAGUUGUGAGAUGAGAUGGGGUGUGAGGAGUGGAGCUGGGGAGAUGGCAACCCACUACAGUAUUCCUGUCUGGAAAAUUUCAUGAACAGAGGAGCCUGCAGGCUACACUCCGUGGGGUCUCACAGAGUCGGACACAACUGAGCACAGACACACAGACACACACACACACACACACACACACCAGUAAUAGCAGUUUGUAUCUUGUUUUAUAUUUUGUGAAGCAGUUUCACAAGUCUUACACAAUUCCAACAAUAAAACCUCCAACAUGAACUGAGAGGCUAUUAAUGUCAUUAUUUUAUAGAUGGGAAAACUGUCUGAGCUUAAGUAACUAGCUUCAUAAGAUUAUUUUUCAGUCUAAGGCAGGAACAGUAGGCAAGAAUACACAGAGAAACUAUACAAAAAGAUCUUAAUGACCUAGAUAACCAUGAUGGUGUGAUCGUUCACCUAGAGCCAGACAUCCUGGAGUCCAAAGUC